This 419-nucleotide ribosomal RNA is filed under the name Macrobrachium rosenbergii (giant freshwater prawn). RNAcentral's name for it is "partial 16S ribosomal RNA". It matches the Rfam family "Bacterial large subunit ribosomal RNA", at positions 1932 to 2561 of the family's 2925-position model. The record is from RNAcentral. Lineage: Eukaryota; Metazoa; Arthropoda; Malacostraca; Decapoda; Palaemonidae.
CGCGGUAAUUUGACCGUGCGAAGGUAGCAUAGUCAGUAGUCUUUUAAUUGGAGGCUUGAAUGAAUGGUUGGACGAGGGAUAAACUGUCUCCUUAGCGGCGUUUGAAUUUAACUUUUGAGUGAAAAGGCUCAAAUUGUUUAGGGGGACGAUAAGACCCUAUAAAACUUAAUAUAAUUUAGGCUUAACUUGCGAUGUGGGUGAAAAGUAGUUUUGUCUGGUUUAUAUUUCGUUGGGGAGAUGAAGAUAUAAUGAGUAACUGUCUAUAAAAUUUUAUAGCAUUGACUAGAAUUUGAUCCUUCCUUGGGGAUUAGGAGAAUAAGUUACUUUAGGGAUAACAGCGUGAUUUUCUUUGAGAGUUCUUAUCGACAAGAGUAGUUGCGACCUCGAUGUUGAAUUAAAAUUUCAGCUAGGUGUAGCCG